UUAAGUUCAGCGGGUAGUCCUACCUGAUUUGAGGUCAAAAGUUCAAUAUCGUUGUCCUUUUACAGGACAGUUAGAAGCAGAACAAUACAGAGAGCGUUCACAGUCUAUGGCGUAGAUAAUUAUCACACCGGUGACGGAUCGCAAACGGUUCCACUAAUGCAUUUCAGGAGAGCUGAUCUCGAAAUGAGACCAGCAAAACU
Molecule: unclassified non-coding RNA, 200 nt
Filed under: Coprinus sp.
Lineage: Eukaryota; Fungi; Basidiomycota; Agaricomycetes; Agaricales; Agaricaceae
Description: partial internal transcribed spacer 2
Source: RNAcentral